CGAGAUGGUAAAAAUAGAAAGCCCUUAUCAUUUAAGGAUUUUACAGACAGGAAUAAGAGGACUUAAAAUCCCUUGGCCGAAAGGCCGUGCGGGUUCGAUUCCCGCCUCUCGCACCA
This 116-nucleotide transfer RNA is filed under the name Persephonella marina EX-H1. RNAcentral's name for it is "tRNA-Leu (TAA) (tRNA-Leu-TAA-2-1)". The record is from RNAcentral. Lineage: Bacteria; Pseudomonadati; Aquificota; Aquificia; Aquificales; Hydrogenothermaceae.